This 648-nucleotide ribosomal RNA is filed under the name Nitratidesulfovibrio termitidis. Its description in RNAcentral is "bacterial SSU rRNA". It matches the Rfam family "Bacterial small subunit ribosomal RNA", at positions 28 to 660 of the family's 1533-position model. The record is from RNAcentral. Lineage: Bacteria; Pseudomonadati; Thermodesulfobacteriota; Desulfovibrionia; Desulfovibrionales; Desulfovibrionaceae.
AUUGAACGCUGGCGGCGUGCCUAACACAUGCAAGUCGUGCGUGAAAGGGCUUCGGCCUGAGUAAAGCGGCGCACGGGUGAGUAACGCGUGGAUGAUCUGCCCAUGAGUUGGGAAUAACGGCUGGAAACGGUCGCUAAUACCGAAUACGCUCCGAUUUCAUAGUUCGGGGGAAAGGUGGCCUCUGCUUGCAAGCUACCGCUCAUGGAUGAGUCCGCGUCCCAUUAGCUUGUUGGCGGGGUAAUGGCCCACCAAGGCGACGAUGGGUAGCCGACCUGAGAGGGUGAUCGGCCACACUGGGACUGGAACACGGCCCAGACUCCUACGGGAGGCAGCAGUGGGGAAUAUUGCGCAAUGGGCGAAAGCCUGACGCAGCGACGCCGCGUGAGGGAUGAAGGCCUUCGGGUCGUAAACCUCUGUCAGGAGGGAAGAACCGCCAUGGUGCUAAUCAGCCAUGGUCUGACGGUACCUCCAAAGGAAGCACCGGCUAACUCCGUGCCAGCAGCCGCGGUAAUACGGAGGGUGCAAGCGUUAAUCGGAAUCACUGGGCGUAAAGCGCACGUAGGCUGUUUGGUAAGUCAGGGGUGAAAUCCCGCAGCUCAACUGCGGGAUUGCCCUUGAUACUGCUGGACUUGAGUUCGGGAGAGGGUG